GACGAACGCUGGCGGCGCGCUUAACACAUGCAAGUCGAACGGAAAGGCCUGCUUUCCCUCGUGGAUUGCGGGUACUCGAGUGGCGAACGGGUGAGUAACACGUGAGUGAUCUGCCCCCAACUUGGGUAUAAGCCUGGGAAACUGGGUCUAAUUCCCGAUAGGACUGCAGGGUGGUGCCUGUGGUGGAAAACGAUUUUCUAGUGGUUGGGGAUGAGCUCGCGGCCUAUCAGCUUGUUGGUGGGGUAAUGGCCUACCAAGGCGGCGACGGGUAGCCGGCCUGAGAGGGUGGACGGCCACAUUGGGACUGAGAUACGGCCCAGACUCCUACGGGAGGCAGCAGUGGGGAAUAUUGCACAAUGGGCGGAAGCCUGAUGCAGCGACGCCGCGUGGGGGAUGACGGCCUUCGGGUUGUAAACUCCUUUCGACCGCGAGGAAGCCACCUGGUUGGAAGGGUGGUGACGGUAGUGGCAGAAGAAGCACCGGCUAACUACGUG
RNAcentral lists this ribosomal RNA (494 nucleotides) under uncultured bacterium. RNAcentral's name for it is "partial 16S ribosomal RNA". It matches the Rfam family "Bacterial small subunit ribosomal RNA", at positions 28 to 507 of the family's 1533-position model. The record is from RNAcentral.